AGCGAACGCUGGCGGCAGGCUUAACACAUGCAAGUCGAGCGGGCCCUUCGGGGUCAGCGGCGGACGGGUGAGUAACGCGUGGGAACGUGCCCUCUGGUCUGGAAUAACCCUGGGAAACUAGGGCUAAUACCGGAUACGCCCUUUUGGGGAAAGGCUUGCUGCCGGAGGAUCGGCCCGCGUCUGAUUAGCUAGUUGGUGGGGUAACGGCCUACCAAGGCGACGAUCAGUAGCUGGUCUGAGAGGAUGAUCAGCCACACUGGGACUGAGACACGGCCCAGACUCCUACGGGAGGCAGCAGUGGGGAAUCUUGGACAAUGGGCGCAAGCCUGAUCCAGCCAUGCCGCGUGAGUGAAGAAGGUCUUCGGAUUGUAAAGCUCUUUUGCCAGGGACGAUAAUGACGGUACCUGGAGAAUAAGCCCCGGCUAACUACGUGCCAGCCGCCGCCGUAA
This 449-nucleotide ribosomal RNA is filed under the name uncultured bacterium. RNAcentral describes it as "partial 16S ribosomal RNA". It matches the Rfam family "Bacterial small subunit ribosomal RNA", at positions 29 to 523 of the family's 1533-position model. The record is from RNAcentral.